GGGCCGGGGCUGCAGCCUACACAUGCAAGUCGAGCGGUAGCACAAGAGAGCUUGCUCUCUGGGUGACGAGCGGCGGACGGGUGAGUAAUGUCUGGGAAACUGCCUGAUGGAGGGGGAUAACUACUGGAAACGGUAGCUAAUACCGCAUGACGUCUUCGGACCAAAGUGGGGGACCUUCGGGCCUCACGCCAUCAGAUGUGCCCAGAUGGGAUUAGCUAGUAGGUGGGGUAAUGGCUCACCUAGGCGACGAUCUCUAGCUGGUCUGAGAGGAUGACCAGCCACACUGGAACUGAGACACGGUCCAGACUCCUACGGGAGGCAGCAGUGGGGAAUAUUGCACAAUGGGCGCAAGCCUGAUGCAGCCAUGCCGCGUGUAUGAAGAAGGCCUUCGGGUUGUAAAGUACUUUCAGCGAGGAGGAAGGCAUUAAGGUUAAUAACCUUGGUGAUUGACGUUACUCGCAGAAGAAGCACCGGCUAACUCCGUGCCAGCAGCCGCGGUAAUACGGAGGGUGCAAGCGUUAAUCGGAAUUACUGGGCGUAAAGCGCACGCAGGCGGUUGAUUAAGUCAGAUGUGAAAUCCCCGAGCUUAACUUGGGAACUGCAUUUGAAACUGGUCAGCUAGAGUCUUUGUAGAGGGGGGUAGAAUUCCCAGGUGUAAGCGGGUGAAAUGCGUAAAGAUCU
RNAcentral lists this ribosomal RNA (681 nucleotides) under Hafnia paralvei. RNAcentral describes it as "bacterial SSU rRNA". It matches the Rfam family "Bacterial small subunit ribosomal RNA", at positions 33 to 699 of the family's 1533-position model. Lineage: Bacteria; Pseudomonadati; Pseudomonadota; Gammaproteobacteria; Enterobacterales; Hafniaceae. The record is from RNAcentral.